UCCAGACUCCUACGGGAGGCAGCAGUAGGGAAUAUUGCUCAAUGGGGGAAACCCUGAUGCAGCGACGCCGCGUGAGUGAAGAAGCGUUUCGGCGCGUAAAGCUCUUUCAGCAGGGAAGAAAGAAAUGACGGUACCUGACCAAGAAGCCCCGGCUAACUACGUGCCAGCAGCCGCGGUAAUACGUAGGGAGCAAGCGUUGUCCGGAAUUACUGGGCGUAAAGGGCGCGUAGGUGGGCGCUUAAGUCAGGUGUGAAAACUCCGGGCUCAACCUGGAGACUGCACUUGAAACUGGGUGUCUUGAGGGCAGGAGAGGAAAGUGGAAUUCCUAGUGUAGCGGUGAAAUGCGUAGAUAUUAGGAGGAACACCAGUGGCGAAGGCGACUUUCUGGACUGUACCUGACGCUGAGGCGCGAAAGCGUGGGUAGCGAACGGGAUUAGAUACCCGAGUA
RNAcentral lists this ribosomal RNA (448 nucleotides) under uncultured bacterium. RNAcentral describes it as "bacterial SSU rRNA". It matches the Rfam family "Bacterial small subunit ribosomal RNA", at positions 330 to 792 of the family's 1533-position model. The record is from RNAcentral.